RNAcentral lists this ribosomal RNA (1240 nucleotides) under metagenome. RNAcentral's name for it is "bacterial LSU rRNA". It matches the Rfam family "Bacterial large subunit ribosomal RNA", at positions 1564 to 2816 of the family's 2925-position model. The record is from RNAcentral.
UGAAUACGAGACGCUAAGGCGUCGAAGUAGUGUAUGUCAUACUUCCAAGAAAAGCUUGCACUGUCAUAGAUAAAAAACGCCUGUACCAUAACCGACACAGGUGGGUAGGUAGAGUAUACUAAGGGGCGCGAGAUAACUCUCUCUAAGGAACUCGGCAAAAUAACUCCGUAACUUCGGGAGAAGGAGUGCCUAUUAUUAAGGCUGCAAUAACAAGAUCCAAGCAACUGUUUAUCAAAAACACAGGUCUCCGCUAAGUCGUAAGACGAUGUAUGGGGGCUGACGCCUGCCCAGUGCCAGAAGGUUAAAGAAGUUGGUUAGCAUUUGCGAAGCUGAUAGCUGAAGCCCUGGUGAACGGCGGCCGUAACCGUAACGGUCCUAAGGUAGCGAAAUUCCUUGUCGGGUAAGUUCCGACCCGCACGAAAGGCGUAAUGAUUUGGAUACUGUCUCGGAGAGGGGCUCGGUGAAAUAGACUUGUCUGUGAAGAUGCGGACUACCUGCACCAGGACAGAAAGACCCUAUGAAGCUUUACUGUAACUUGAAAUUGAAAUUGGACUUUAUUCGCGCAGCAUAGGUGGGAGGCGUUGAUUAUAAUCUUGUGGGAUUAUUGGAGCCACCAGUGAGAUACCACUCUUGUAAUGUUAGAUUUCUAACUUUGAAUCAUUAUCUGGUCAAAGAACAGUUUCAGGCGGGCAGUUUGACUGGGGCGGUCGCCUCCUAAACGGUAACGGAGGCGUACAAAGGUUUCCUCUGAACGGUUAGAAAUCGUAUCUAGAGUGUAAAGGCAUAAGGAAGCUUGACUGUGAGGCCUACAAGUCGAGCAGGGACGAAAGUCGGUCUUAGUGAUCUGACGGUACUGAGUGGAAAGGCCGUCACUCAACGGAUAAAGUUACUCUAGGAUAACAGGCUGAUCUCCCCCAAGAGUUCACAUCGACGGGGAGGUUUGGCACCUUGAUGUCGGCUCAUCGCAUCCUGGGGCGGUAGUACGUCCCAAGGGUUGGGCUGUUCGCCCAUGAAAGCGGUACGCGAGCUGGGUUCAGAACGUCGUGAGACAGUUCGGUCCAUAUCCGGUGUAGGCGUUAGAAUAUUGAGAGGAGCCUUCUUUAGUACGAGAGGACCGAGAAGGACAUACCUCUGGUGUACCAGUUAUCGUGCCAACGGUAAACGCUGGGUAGCUAUGUAUGGAGUGGAUAACCGCUGAAAGCAUCUAAGUGGGAAGCCCACCUCAAGAUAAGUAUUCUCC